UGGGGAAUUUUGGACAAUGGGCGCAAGCCUGAUCCAGCCAUGCCGCGUGCGGGAAGAAGGCCUUCGGGUUGUAAACCGCUUUUGUCAGGGAAGAAAUCUUCUGAGUUAAUACCUCGGGAGGAUGACGGUACCUGAAGAAUAAGCACCGGCUAACUACGUGCCAGCAGCCGCGGUAAUACGUAGGGUGCAAGCGUUAAUCGGAAUUACUGGGCGUAAAGCGUGCGCAGGCGGUUUUGUAAGACAGAGGUGAAAUCCCCGGGCUCAACCUGGGAACUGCCUUUGUGACUGCAAGGCUUGAGUGCGGCAGAGGGGGAUGGAAUUCCGCGUGUAGCAGUGAAAUGCGUAGAUAUGCGGAGGAACACCGAUGGCGAAGGCAAUCCCCUGGGCCUGCACUGACGCUCAUGCACGAAAGCGUGGGGAGCAAAACAGGAUUAGAUACCCUGGUAGUCCACGCCCUAAACGAUGUCAACUGGUUGUUGGGAAGGUUCCUUCUCAGUAACGUAGCUAACGCGUGAAGUUGACCGCCUGGGGAGUACGGCCGCAAGGUUGAAACUUAAAUGAAUUGACGGGGUCAUAGCUGUUUCCUG
RNAcentral lists this ribosomal RNA (587 nucleotides) under uncultured bacterium. Its description in RNAcentral is "partial 16S ribosomal RNA". It matches the Rfam family "Bacterial small subunit ribosomal RNA", at positions 355 to 1376 of the family's 1533-position model. The record is from RNAcentral.